RNAcentral lists this ribosomal RNA (2478 nucleotides) under Streptomyces sp. NRRL F-4428. RNAcentral describes it as "bacterial LSU rRNA". It matches the Rfam family "Bacterial large subunit ribosomal RNA", at positions 590 to 2925 of the family's 2925-position model. Lineage: Bacteria; Bacillati; Actinomycetota; Actinomycetes; Kitasatosporales; Streptomycetaceae. The record is from RNAcentral.
GUCGUGACUGCGUGCCUUUUGAAGAAUGAGCCUGCGAGUUAGCGGUGUGUAGCGAGGUUAACCCGUGUGGGGAAGCCGUAGCGAAAGCGAGUCCGAACAGGGCGAUUGAGUUGCACGCUCUAGACCCGAAGCGGAGUGAUCUAGCCAUGGGCAGGUUGAAGCGGAGGUAAGACUUCGUGGAGGACCGAACCCACCAGGGUUGAAAACCUGGGGGAUGACCUGUGGUUAGGGGUGAAAGGCCAAUCAAACUCCGUGAUAGCUGGUUCUCCCCGAAAUGCAUUUAGGUGCAGCGUCGUGUGUUUCUUGCCGGAGGUAGAGCACUGGAUAGGCGAUGGGCCCUACCGGGUUACUGACCUUAGCCAAACUCCGAAUGCCGGUAAGUGAGAGCACGGCAGUGAGACUGUGGGGGAUAAGCUCCAUGGUCGAGAGGGAAACAGCCCAGAGCAUCGACUAAGGCCCCUAAGCGUACGCUAAGUGGGAAAGGAUGUGGAGUCGCAGAGACAACCAGGAGGUUGGCUUAGAAGCAGCCACCCUUGAAAGAGUGCGUAAUAGCUCACUGGUCAAGUGAUUCCGCGCCGACAAUGUAGCGGGGCUCAAGCGUACCGCCGAAGUCGUGUCAUUGCAGCAAUAGGGCCAACGCCCGCUGUGAUGGGUAGGGGAGCGUCGUGUGCCGGGUGAAGCAGCAGCGGAAGCUAGUUGUGGACGGUUCACGAGUGAGAAUGCAGGCAUGAGUAGCGAUACACACGUGAGAAACGUGUGCGCCGAUUGACUAAGGGUUCCUGGGUCAAGCUGAUCUGCCCAGGGUAAGUCGGGACCUAAGGCGAGGCCGACAGGCGUAGUCGAUGGACAACCGGUUGAUAUUCCGGUACCCGCUUUGAAACGCCCAAUAUCGAAUCAGGCGAUGCUAAGUCCGUGAAGCCGUCCUGGAUCCUUCGGGUGAAGGGAAGUGGUGGAGCCGACGAACCAGACUUGUAGUAGGUAAGCGAUGGGGUGACGCAGGAAGGUAGUCCAGCCCGGGCGGUGGUUGUCCCGGGGUAAGGGUGUAGGCCGAGGGGUAGGCAAAUCCGUCCCUCAUACAAGGCUGAGACCUGAUGCCGAGCCGAUUGUGGUGAAGUGGAUGAUCCUAUGCUGUCGAGAAAAGCCUCUAGCGAGUUUCAUGGCGGCCCGUACCCUAAACCGACUCAGGUGGUCAGGUAGAGAAUACCGAGGCGUUCGGGUGAACUAUGGUUAAGGAACUCGGCAAAAUGCCCCCGUAACUUCGGGAGAAGGGGGGCCAUUCCUGGUGAUCGGAUUUACUCCGUGAGCUGGGGGUGGCCGCAGAGACCAGCGAGAAGCGACUGUUUACUAAAAACACAGGUCCGUGCGAAGCCGUAAGGCGAUGUAUACGGACUGACGCCUGCCCGGUGCUGGAACGUUAAGGGGACCGGUUAGUGACCUUUCGGGGUUGCGAAGCUGAGAACUUAAGCGCCAGUAAACGGCGGUGGUAACUAUAACCAUCCUAAGGUAGCGAAAUUCCUUGUCGGGUAAGUUCCGACCUGCACGAAUGGCGUAACGACUUCUCGACUGUCUCAACCAUAGGCCCGGUGAAAUUGCACUACGAGUAAAGAUGCUCGUUUCGCGCAGCAGGACGGAAAGACCCCGGGACCUUUACUACAGUUUGAUAUUGGUGUUCGGUUCGGCUUGUGUAGGAUAGGUGGGAGACUUUGAAGCCCCAACGCCAGUUGGGGUGGAGUCGACGUUGAAAUACCACUCUGGUCGUGCUGGAUGUCUAACCUCGGUCCGUGAUCCGGAUCAGGGACAGUGUCUGAUGGGUAGUUUAACUGGGGCGGUUGCCUCCCAAAGGGUAACGGAGGCGCCCAAAGGUUCCCUCAGCCUGGUUGGCAAUCAGGUGUUGAGUGUAAGUGCACAAGGGAGCUUGACUGUGAGACCGACGGGUCGAGCAGGGACGAAAGUCGGGACUAGUGAUCCGGCGGUGGCUUGUGGAAGCGCCGUCGCUCAACGGAUAAAAGGUACCCCGGGGAUAACAGGCUGAUCUUCCCCAAGAGUCCAUAUCGACGGGAUGGUUUGGCACCUCGAUGUCGGCUCGUCGCAUCCUGGGGCUGGAGUCGGUCCCAAGGGUUGGGCUGUUCGCCCAUUAAAGCGGUACGCGAGCUGGGUUUAGAACGUCGUGAGACAGUUCGGUCCCUAUCCGCUGUGCGCGUAGGAAUAUUGAGAAGGGCUGUCCCUAGUACGAGAGGACCGGGACGGACGAACCUCUGGUGUGCCAGUUGUCCUGCCAAGGGCAUGGCUGGUUGGCUACGUUCGGGAGGGAUAACCGCUGAAAGCAUCUAAGCGGGAAGCCUGCUUCAAGAUGAGUAUUCCCACCUCCUUGAGAGGGUAAGGCUCCCAGUAGACGACUGGGUUGAUAGGCCAGAUGUGGAAGCCCGGUAACGGGUGGAGCUGACUGGUACUAAUAGGCCGAGGGCUUGUCCUCAGUUG